AAAUUUAAUUUGCAUCAUUGCAACCCAUAGCUAAAACCUCAUAUAGCUCUGUUCUUAUUAACCAGCAAAAGACAUAGCAUGCAGAGUUGCAUCAAACAUGUACAGGGACACAAGUAUAAUAUCUGUUCUUGAAUAUACCAACACAAAGUCUAAAUAAUAAUAUGGCAAAUGAAUAAUAAUUAACACUGCUAACAAUGUCCUAGGGGGAG
Molecule: unclassified non-coding RNA, 209 nt
Filed under: Hevea brasiliensis (rubber tree)
Lineage: Eukaryota; Viridiplantae; Streptophyta; Magnoliopsida; Malpighiales; Euphorbiaceae
Source: RNAcentral